GUUUUAAUAAUUUAAAAAAAAAUACUGGUCUUGUAAACCAGAAAUGAGAUUUUUUGCUCUUAAAACA
This 67-nucleotide transfer RNA is filed under the name Archetypus frenchi. RNAcentral's name for it is "tRNA-Thr". It matches the Rfam family "tRNA". Rfam says of the family: Transfer RNA (tRNA) molecules are approximately 80 nucleotides in length. Their secondary structure includes four short double-helical elements and three loops (D, anti-codon, and T loops). Further hydrogen bonds mediate the characteristic L-shaped molecular structure. tRNAs have two regions of fundamental functional importance: the anti-codon, which is responsible for specific mRNA codon recognition, and the 3' end, to which the tRNAs corresponding amino acid is attached (by aminoacyl-tRNA synthetases). tRNAs cope with the degeneracy of the genetic code in two manners: having more than one tRNA (with a specific anti-codon) for a particular amino acid; and 'wobble' base-pairing, i.e. permitting non-standard base-pairing at the 3rd anti-codon position. The record is from RNAcentral. Lineage: Eukaryota; Metazoa; Arthropoda; Insecta; Coleoptera; Cerambycidae.